Molecule: small nuclear RNA, 21 nt
Filed under: Arabidopsis thaliana (thale cress)
Lineage: Eukaryota; Viridiplantae; Streptophyta; Magnoliopsida; Brassicales; Brassicaceae
Description: snRNA_06869
Source: RNAcentral
UUGGUUGAAAAGCCAGUGGCG